Molecule: long non-coding RNA, 1820 nt
Filed under: Equus caballus (horse)
Lineage: Eukaryota; Metazoa; Chordata; Mammalia; Perissodactyla; Equidae
Description: lncRNA (ENSECAG00000055678.1)
Source: RNAcentral
GAGCCGGCCCAGAGUUAGGAGGUGAAGGGGUCCCAAAGCCCGAAUGCCACGUGAGGUCCUGGCGGGAUUCUGGAACAGGAAAGGGCGUCACUGGGAUGACAGGUGGGGAAGGUCUCCAGGUGCAUGGCACACCUGCUGCCCUGGCUCUCCAGCCAGGCUCCCCAGGGAGGAAGCAGUGGCCCCUCCCCCAGCACAGGCUCCUCCCCUGGCAAGGCCCCUCCCCCAGCACAGGCCCCUCCCCUGGCACAGGCCCCUCCCCACACACAGGCCCCUCCCCUGGCACAGGCCCCUCCUCCCACACAGGCCCCUCCCCCAGCAAGGCCCCUCCCCUGACUGCGCCCCAGACACAGACGCUCACUGGGCGGAGUGGAGCGUGGACAUGUGGGCCCCAGGUGGGCAGACAGCCCCGUGAGCCGGCGGUGACCAUCUGGGGCAGGAUGGGAGCACAGGGGCCCCGCCGCACGUUCCCCGCUGACCGGGAGACGAGGCCCUUCAGUGCGGCCCUGCGAUGCUGCCCGAGCGCCGAGCCCCCCCUCCCUGGUUCAGACUCUGGAACCGCGUGGGCAGGAUGGGCUCCUGCGGCCCAGGCGGGAGGCUUUGUUUCCUUGCCGAGACGCUCCUUUCAGAAGCCGCUGGAGUGUGGGCGCUGAAGGCGCCCAGGGGCUGUUUUCUUUUCGGUUCAUUGAGCGCCUCUUGUGACGUCCUGAAUGGACGAGUUAACUUACAACCCUGUUUACCUGGAACGCGUACCCACAAGGCCAGGCGUCUCGGCAGGACGAACACCUGCUGUGGGGAGCCCUGCGCUGCCCAACCAAAUGACUUUCAGCAAAGGGAGAGAGGACCCACGCAUUUUGAUUUUAGUGCUGAAGUACCUGACUGGGUUCCCUAGGCCAGCGACGUUUCAGACAUUACUAUUACCAUUAUUGUCGUCAUUGCUUAUUUUAUUUAGCAGGAAACCCUUUCUUCAGACCGGGUCCGGUAUGGAGAUCUGGCAUGUGAAUAGAUGGAAGUGGAGUGGGUGCCCUCUGGGGAGGAGCAGUGGAGCUUGAGUGACCUUUGAGGCACAAAGGGGGCCACCUCAGGCCCUGACGCCUUCUCACCCCGCUGCAGCCCCGGGGCCCCUCCAGGCUCUCUAGGACCCGGGACGGCUGUUCGAAUGGCAUCAAUCCAGCCCACAUCCUGCUUUGAUAAUCCCACCGUUCUCUCCUGAAGCCAGACGCAUCCAUUCUUAUUGUCACUGCUGUUAUUCACGCAUUCAGCAACUACAUACUAAGUGCCUGCUGUGUGCUGAGCCCUGUGUCAUGAUGGUGCAGAGAUGGACAGAGUGCUAGCUGGACGGGAGCGUGAGGAAGGUGGUCGGGAAAGUUCCUGAGGAGCUGGAGGAGGGACUGAGCCAGUAUUUGCAUCCUGUCCAGCAUCAGUCACAGGCAUUUCCAACCUCAGGAAUGUGGGCACGGCAGGAAGGCAGAGUAACGCCAGGAGACGGUUGGUGAGCUCAAUGUGUGAUAGUGGCGGAAGCUACACCGGGGGCAGGGAGUGGAGGGCACAGUGUGGCUAGCCCGGGGCGGCCCCCUGCACGGUCUGUAGACCUUCCUCACCGGCCUGCGAUGGAGAAGCAGGCGUUCGCAGAAAACACUUAGGCAGGUUCGCGGCAGCUUCUGGAAGGUGGUGGGGCCUACUGAGCAGGUGCGGACAGCGGAUGCUGACGGACGCGCCUGGCGAGCUGCAGGCGAUGCGGGUCCACGUCCGCCACUUGCGGGAACUGACUGCAAAUUAGGAAAAGGGAAACUGGUCUGCACCACAGACGUUGAGAAACGGAG